GUCUCUGUAUGACCCAACAUUUUUGGCACAACUGACAAGUACAGAUAGCUGUCUGGAGGAGAAAGGGCUGCAUAAGCUCCUUCUGCUGCCAAGAAUUUGUACAUCGGAGUGAACUGAAAAAAAGGCUUCUGCAUAGACGACACAGAUGGAAGUACAUCAGCAAUGGGGAAAAAAAGGUCCUGUGACGUAGAUGGCUUGCUUGAGCUUGUACACAACAUAUUCAGUGGAACGGGAAAGCACCGAACUAUAAACUUCCAGACACUGCUGCAAGGAGCUGGCCUGCUACCACAUUCUAAAACUCUUCUCCAAACACUCUUUGAACCCUGAAUUUUUGGAUCUUUUCCAUAAAAGAGAGUCCAUAAUACAGAUUCAUCUUUGAGAGGACUUAAGGAAGAAUUAUGGUACUGAGGUUUUUUGUAUUUUCUAAUUGUAUAUUUGCCCUUUGUUUCAAUAUUCCGCUCUUUAUACAAGCUCCACAAUCAAGAAUAAAUAUUUACUGUAGAAUUUAGGUGGAUGUCA
This 519-nucleotide long non-coding RNA is filed under the name Anser cygnoides (Swan goose). RNAcentral describes it as "lncRNA (ENSACDG00005010932.1)". The record is from RNAcentral. Lineage: Eukaryota; Metazoa; Chordata; Aves; Anseriformes; Anatidae.